Molecule: long non-coding RNA, 1299 nt
Filed under: Citrus sinensis (sweet orange)
Lineage: Eukaryota; Viridiplantae; Streptophyta; Magnoliopsida; Sapindales; Rutaceae
Description: long non-coding RNA (CSIN_LNC004311)
Source: RNAcentral
UUUCAAAUAGCAAUUUCUGUUUGAAAAAAAAAUCCUCCUCCUUCGUUCCAUACAAACUAAAAUGUAAGAGGGUUCAGUCCUCAAAAAUCUAAAAAAAAUCAUAGAUUUGGAUAAGGAAGAGGAAAUGACUAUCACAGGAUCGAUGAAAGCGGCGUAUUGUGCUGUUGUAGUGAACUGCUCAGUAAGGUUUCUGGGUGUGACAGUGGUGGAGCAAAGCAAGUAUUUUGGAGCCAUGGAGAGGAUUUAGAGGGGCGAAAUCUGAAAUUUAGUUGAAAGUGAGGAACUACUUAUCUAAAGGGAUGAAUUAGAGAUUGUGAUUUGGGAUGUUGAUGUGUUAAAGAAACUGUUGGAGAAGAAUACUCAAAACUACGCGUUGCUAAUGGUUAAGGCUUAUUUAGAAGAUGCGUAGGCUAGCAUGGGAUCCACUUUUUUAGAAUUAUCAGUCAGGUAAAUUAAGCACUUGAAGGAGCAAGAAUCCGAUAAAGUUGAAGGAGAGCUGUUGUAGUUAAAGAGAAAAGCAAAGGUAUUUUUUUAAAAACAUUUUGUCGUAUUUUUUAUUUUUGAGAAACAUAAUGUGAUUUUGCAUGCUUUUAUAGUUAAUUUUUGGUUCCUAAGUGUCGAUUUGGGGCCGCUGUAAGGGGACCUUAAUUUGGAUGUAUUUUGCUGAGGUAAAGGCUUUCAAUUAACAUAGUUAUUCUAUGUAUGUAUCAGUGGUUAAUGCUUUAAUUGAGGUUAAAAGGAGGGGAAAGAAAAAAGACAAAACACAUGGGCUGUGAUUUCUGAAGAAAUAUGUUUCUUUGGAAAGUUAUUUUUAUUGAGAAAGCACUUAGAGAGAAUCCUGAAUAGGUUCUUCUCCAAAAUAUUCUUUUAGGUAUUUUCGAUGGAAGGGCUUUUAACUCCAAUAUGUGCAGUUAGUGUUCUUAUACUUAUGGUAUGUUUGAAAAUACAGCAGUGAAAGUGUUUGGUAAAACAUCCAUUUUUACAUGGUAGCUUGUGUUUAUCACUAUGCCGCCCACUAAUACUUGAUAUCAAGUGAUUCUAUCUCAUAGUGGCACUGUGGAUUAAAAGUCACAUCUCAAUAUCAAACUUACUCUAGGGAACAAACUCACAUUGCAUUCAGGUUUGUAUUUUGUCGUAUUUCCUAAAUUUUUGCCACUUUCACUUCUAAGCUUUUGACAUUUUGAAAUAAAAAGCUUUAACAGCACGUAAUUUUGAUAGUGAUCAUUUCAGCACUUAAUGUUAUAAUGUUUAUUGUUUAUAUAGUUGUUGUUACAACUAAGCAUACAUGCUUUGUUUUAG